Molecule: unclassified non-coding RNA, 830 nt
Filed under: Hevea brasiliensis (rubber tree)
Lineage: Eukaryota; Viridiplantae; Streptophyta; Magnoliopsida; Malpighiales; Euphorbiaceae
Source: RNAcentral
AAUCGCUUCAAUAUUUUUUUAAGCAGUUUUAUGGCAUUCACAUCAAAGUAAAUAUAUUGAUACAGCAAAUAAUAUAAAAGGUCACCAAUAAGGAAAACACAAUACUUGGAUCUAACAGCCUUCUGUAGAGCAUAAAAAAAAAGUAUAGUAUGGAUCAAGAACAACGAUGAUCACUUGGAGACAAUAAAAUCCAGCAUGAUGUCCAUAUUAUACAAAAAUAUAUCUUUCCAUCUCCAUUUGCCUCGUCACUGCAAGCAGAUUCUGGACUCAGAACUCUGUAGGAGGUUUCAAUCUCAUUACUCUUCUAAUUCUAUCUUUGUCUGUAUUCUCCAGCAAUCCCUUCCAAACAAUUUCAUCUAGGCAUAAGCAUAUCUUCCCAUACUUGUCAAGGAAAAGGCGCUCAGUUGGAGGCUUCCCACAUACAUCCUUCACGGCUGAUGUGAUAGCAAAAAUGACUUCUGCCAAGGCAAGUUCAUCAUACUCAUCCUUGCCAACAACAAAAAUGCUGACAUCCCCAAGUACUGUGUAUACGAUGUAAACUGACUUAUGGGAUGCAACAAGAAGCUCUUCAUUUUUUACACCUUUAAGAUUAUCUGCCCCCAGCUUAACUAAGAAUGAUCUCCAAUGCAGCCGUUCCUCAGCUGGAACUCCACUAAACCGUUCAAUCAAGAUGUUGCCUUCAACAUUUGCGAAUAAUACCGCAAGUAUCAUGUUUUCUGGGUCUCUUUCCUUCCUUUUCCCUUCCUUUCCCCUCUUUUCUCUUCGUCUCUGUUUGGUUUUCUGCUUCAAAGAGAACUCGGAAUUUUUGCGUCUUCAUAACAACUCAUCAA